Molecule: long non-coding RNA, 157 nt
Organism: Haplochromis burtoni (Burton's mouthbrooder)
Lineage: Eukaryota; Metazoa; Chordata; Actinopteri; Cichliformes; Cichlidae
Exons: 2
Source: RefSeq, a predicted model, not a curated record
GUGUGAAACACUGUGGUUCUUACAGUACAGUUCUUCCCUGGAUUGUUGCUGGUGUAUCUCUCACUUUGAAUGUCUUCUGCAUAACCUACAUAUGGUUCCUUUGGAAUUCAAGAAAAAAGGUGAACCUACAUCAGGAGGAGAGAACCUACAUGUCACU